UACGUAGGUGGCGAGCGUUGUCCGGAUUUACUGGGCGUAAAGGGCGUGCAGGCGGUUUGUUAAGUGCAGCGUGAAAGCUCCCGGCUCAACUGGGAGAGGUCUUUGCAUACUGGCAAACUCGAGGGAGGCAGAGGAAAGUGGAAUUCCCGGUGUAGUGGUGAUAUGCGUAGAUAUCGGGAGGAACACCUGUGGCGAAGGCAGGUCUCUGGGCCACUACUGACGCUGAGGAGCGAAAGCAUGGGGAGCGAACAGG
RNAcentral lists this ribosomal RNA (253 nucleotides) under uncultured bacterium. RNAcentral's name for it is "partial 16S ribosomal RNA". It matches the Rfam family "Bacterial small subunit ribosomal RNA", at positions 524 to 776 of the family's 1533-position model. The record is from RNAcentral.